ACCGGCAGAUUCCGCCGGGGGUGGCAGCCCCGGGGCCGGGUGCGAUCGCCGCCCCGCCUCGGCCCGGUGCCGGCCGCGGGCCCCGCCGCAAGUGGGAGGUUUAUAUUGGAUAUCAGGAGAAAUUUCUUCACUGGCAGAGUGGUGAAGCCCUGACAGAGGCUGCCCAGGGCAGUGGUGGAAUCUCCAUCCCUGGAGGGGUUCAAGACCUCUGUAGAUGUGGAACUUUGGGACAUGGUUUAGCAGAUACCGUGGGGCUGGGCUGAUGGUUGGCCUGGCUGCCCCUUCCUCGCCAGCCACCUGACGCUGGCCAUCCCCAUCAUUGCAGCCCUCCUCUUCUUCGUCAUCAGCUGCCUGCUCCAGACCAGCUUCAGAGACCCCGGGAUCUUGCUCCGGGACCUGGAAAAGUGGAUCGGCAGCAUGGGGACCUCUACUUACCGCCCGCCAGCCCGCACGAUGGAAGUGGUCAUCAACAAGUAUGUGGUGAAACUCAAGUACU
Molecule: long non-coding RNA, 496 nt
Organism: Cuculus canorus (common cuckoo)
Lineage: Eukaryota; Metazoa; Chordata; Aves; Cuculiformes; Cuculidae
Exons: 3
Source: RefSeq, a predicted model, not a curated record